GACGGAGGAGGCAAGCGUUAUCCGGAAUUAUUGGGCGUAAAGCGUACGCAGGUGGCGAUUCAAGUCUGCUGUCAAAGGUCGGGGCUUAACCCCGGGAAGGCAGUGGAAACUGAAUAGCUAGAGUGAGGUAGGGGCAGAGGGAAUUCCCGGUGUAGCGGUGAAAUGCGUAGAGAUCGGGAAGAACACCAGUGGAGAAAGCGCUCUGCGGGGCCUGCACUGACAUUGAGGGACGAAAGCUAGGGGAGCGAAAGGG
This 253-nucleotide ribosomal RNA is filed under the name uncultured bacterium. Its description in RNAcentral is "partial 16S ribosomal RNA". It matches the Rfam family "Bacterial small subunit ribosomal RNA", at positions 524 to 776 of the family's 1533-position model. The record is from RNAcentral.